UACGGGGGGGGCAAGCGUUGUCCGGAUUUAUUGGGCGUAAAGAGCGUGUAGGCGGCCGUACAGGUCAGCUGUGAAAACUCGAGGCUCAACCUCGAGACGUCGGUUGAAACCGUACGGCUAGAGUCCGGAAGAGGAGAGUGGAAUUCCCGGUGUAGCGGUGAAAUGCGCAGAUAUCGGGAAGAACACCCGUGGCGAAGGCGGCUCUCUGGGACGGUACUGACGCUGAGACGCGAAAGCGUGGGGAGCGAACAGG
RNAcentral lists this ribosomal RNA (253 nucleotides) under uncultured bacterium. RNAcentral's name for it is "partial 16S ribosomal RNA". It matches the Rfam family "Bacterial small subunit ribosomal RNA", at positions 524 to 776 of the family's 1533-position model. The record is from RNAcentral.